Molecule: ribosomal RNA, 494 nt
Filed under: uncultured bacterium
Lineage: Bacteria
Description: partial 16S ribosomal RNA
Rfam family: Bacterial small subunit ribosomal RNA
Source: RNAcentral
GACGAACGCUGGCGGCGUGCUUAACACAUGCAAGUCGAACGGUGAAGCGCCUUCCUUUUUGGUGGGUGUGGAUGAGUGGCGAACGGGUGAGUAACACGUGAGUAACCUGCCCCCUUCUUCUGGAUAACCGCAUGAAAGUGUGGCUAAUACGGGAUAUUCUGGGUCUGUCGCAUGAUGGGUCUGGGAAAGAUAUUGUUUCGGUGGGGGAUGGGCUCGCGGCCUAUCAGCUUGUUGGCGGGGUGAUGGCCUACCAAGGCGGUGACGGGUAGCCGGCCUGAGAGGGUGGACGGUCACACUGGGACUGAGACACGGCCCAGACUCCUACGGGAGGCAGCAGUUGGGAAUAUUGCACAAUGGGCGCAAGCCUGAUGCAGCGACGCCGCGUGAGGGAUGGAGGCCUUCGGGUUGUGAACCUCUUUCGCCAGUGAAGCAGGCCUGCCUCGUUUGUGGGUGGGUUGACGGUAGCUGGAGAAGAAGCGCCGGCUAACUACGUG